Molecule: long non-coding RNA, 965 nt
Organism: Carassius auratus (goldfish)
Lineage: Eukaryota; Metazoa; Chordata; Actinopteri; Cypriniformes; Cyprinidae
Exons: 3
Source: RefSeq, a predicted model, not a curated record
AGGUUAAUCCAUCUGAAGCUCUGCAGGCUGAAGUCCUAUUAUGCUGCAGUGAAUGGGAUCAGGGAUGGACAGUAGAGGACAAGACAGAUAAGAUGAAGCUUCAACAUGACAUCAUGACCGAAGACGGAUCGAAAACAGAGAGCUUGUCUGCUCCUCCACCUGUCCAAGCAGUAAGUGACCUGCAGGUGUGUGCUUCUCCAGCUAAACCAAAGUCGUCUUAACCACAUACACCAGCCCUUACACUCCUCCUUACCCCACCCUGAUCAACUCCAGCUAUCCAGUUUUUCCAGGUGUACCCGUUAUUCCAGUCCAGCCCCAGCUCUCCCACUCCAUGAUGCAAUUGUUCAGCAGUCCAGUGCAUCUGGGAGCGGGUCCAAACAGUCCGUUCCAGCACCACAUAUCUCAGAUAGCUCUGAGACCAGCUGCGCACCUGUCUGCCCGGGCCAACAUCCUACACUGGCGCUCCAGUCACAGAGCCGGACAGUCCAGAAGCGCUACGUGUUUUGUACUCUUGUCAUCUUCAGUAACUUUUGUUCUUUCGUUUCUUUGGCUGCAACUUCCUAAAAGUAAAUCAAAUGAUAUAUAAGAAAAGCAGUGACACGUCAAAGCAGAUACAUCUCUUAUUCUUUUUUAGCGCAAUAUAUCUCCAGUAGCGCAUUGUUCUUUAUUUUUAUGUAUUUGAAUGUAUAGUGCUAAAGUGCUUAACCCCUGCUUUUUUUCUUUUAUGUACCUUCAAUCAAUUCCGCCCACUGGUUUUCCACUUUUUGGAAUAUUUAGUUUGACCCAACAUUCAACGUGGGAGGAUCCUUUGCUCCACUGAGCAUGUUGAAAUAUUAAAUUACUCAAAGAGGAUGUUGUGUAACCAAGUGCAUCCAUAACAUGACACAAAAACAGCGGAGCCAAGGAAAGGGUAAAGGUUGGCAGCGCUCCGCUGUUUCUGAAUCUUCCUUGUUUAGUCCAAUUAC